Molecule: non-coding RNA, 487 nt
Organism: Paramuricea clavata
Lineage: Eukaryota; Metazoa; Cnidaria; Anthozoa; Malacalcyonacea; Plexauridae
Source: the annotation of a GenBank genome assembly
UUCACGAGUUAGCGGAGACCUAGGCUACGUUUAUACUAUAUACCGCAGAAAGCUUUCCGUAGCGGCGCGAUACAGAAUGUACAACUUUCAGAAGCUGAGCGAAACAUCUCUCUGUUGCAAUAAUUCCUCUGAGAAAAGCGUUCCUAAAAGGUACGGAUAGGCGUUUUUUUCACGUCGCUACGGAAAGCUGUCCAGUAUAGACUAGUGAAACGUAACCUUGAUUUUUUACACGGAAUUGAAAGUCGUUGUUUUAACAAUAAAUAUCCGAUGUUCGGGUGCCCCAGUCAAUACAGUGUCCCAGUCAAUACAGUGUCCCAGUCAAUACAGUGUCCCAGUCAAUACAGUGUCCCAGUCAAUACAGUGUCCCAGUCAAUACAGUGUCCCAGUCAAUACAGUGUCCCAGUCAAUACAGUGUCCCAGUCAAUACAAUGUCCCAGUCAAUACAGUGUCCCAGUCAAUACAGUGUCCCAGUCAAUACAGUGUCCCA